AAGACUAUACUUUCAGGGAUCAUUUCUAUAGUUCUUGACUUGAAAAAUGUGUUUCUAAAGUGUUUGGUCUCGCUAACCACGAUGAAGAGAUGAGAUAUCCCUUCCUGAACGUGAAGCUGACUUCGAAUAAUGAUUGUAUCAUACGUUCGGUGUCAUUGAUGAACGCUCAUCGCCCCCUUGUGGGGUUUUGAUGGAAGGGGUAUGUUCAGAGUGGU
Molecule: small nucleolar RNA, 215 nt
Organism: Nerophis lumbriciformis (worm pipefish)
Lineage: Eukaryota; Metazoa; Chordata; Actinopteri; Syngnathiformes; Syngnathidae
Product: small nucleolar RNA U3
Source: RefSeq, a predicted model, not a curated record